AGCGGCGAAAGGGUGAGUAACGCGUGGUUACGUACCCCCGGAACUGGGAUAGCGGUGGGAAACUGCCAUUAAUACCAGAUAAUGUCCAAGGACCAAAGGUGAGAUUCCGUCCGGGGAUCGGACCGCGUGCUAUUAGCUAGUUGGUGAGGUAAUGGCUCACCAAGGCGAAGAUGGCUAGUGGGUGUGAGAGCACGACCCACCACAUUGGGACUGAGACACUGCCCAGACACCUACGGGUGGCUGCAGUCGAGAAUCUUCGGCAAUGGGCGAAAGCCUGACCGAGCGACGCCGCGUGCGGGAUGAAGGCCUUCGGGUUGUAAACCGCUGUCGAGGGGGAACAAAUCCCUAAGGGUAAUCUCUUAGGGUUGAGUGAUCCCUGGAGGAAGGACGGGCUAAGUUCGUGCCAGCAGCCGCGGUAAGACGAACUGUCCAAACGUUAUUCGGUAUCACUGGGCUUAAAGCGUGCGUAGGCUGUCUGAAGGGUGGGGUGUGAAAUCCCUCGGCUCAACCGAGGAACUGCGCUCCAAACCGUCAGACUAGAGGAAUGCAGGGGUAAGCGGAACAGAUGGUGGAGCGGUGAAAUGCGUUGAUAUCAUCUGGAACACCGGUGGCGAAAGCGGCUUACUGGGCGUUUUCUGACGCUGAGGCACGAAAGCUAGGGGAGCAGACGGGAUUAGAUACCCCGGUAGUCCUAGCUGUAAACGAUGAGCACUGGA
Molecule: ribosomal RNA, 716 nt
Filed under: uncultured bacterium
Lineage: Bacteria
Description: bacterial SSU rRNA
Rfam family: Bacterial small subunit ribosomal RNA
Source: RNAcentral